AUUUUCUCUUCUUUCAACAUUAUCAACCGCCUCUUUCUCUCUCUAUUCUUUUCCUUCACUGCUUCACACCGAAACCCUAGCCUCCGUGUUCCUUUGGCUUGAAGCUUCUACAUCUCAUUUUCUCUGAAAACAUACGCUUGUGCUUGAAUCGACUAAUAAGGGAGACACGCUUUGCCCUUUCCAAUUCCUGCUCUCAAACCCUACUGUCCGAAUACACAUCUUCCCCUUCACGUUUCCUGCCGAUCAAUCGAUUUAUCAAUCCUAUAAUAUACUAAUCUCAUCAAUGUUGAAAGCCAUCAUCAAUUUGGCGUAGAUGGGUAUUCAAGAAAAUAAAGGCAUAAGUGGGAGUUUGGGUUCGUUUCUUACUCGCAGGUGCUUCACCUUUAUCUUGGACUUUUUAAAAGUGCAAGAUAAUCAUCCAUUGAAAACAAUAAUAAUACAACGAUGCUUUGGUUGUCUUAUGAGGGGCUACUUAGAAGGUGAGUAAUUAAUGGUUAUUUUGGAAACUUUGCACUAAUUUUCUUGCUAAAUGGUCAUGACGAUGUUGAGUUGUGAGGUUUUGGUGUGUGCUGCCUCCUUUAGAAGAAGAGGAUGUUCCUCAACUAUACCCAAAAGGGUCAAAUCUUGGUGAGUGAGCUUGAGAAACAGUUGAAAAUGGAGAUAAAAUCAAGAAACAGAGCCAGAGCCAGAGUCUAAAAGAUCUGGUAAAAGACAUAAUUUCUCUUUAGAUGAUGGUAAUUUAGGGUCUUUUAAUGAGGAUAUUUUUUGAGUAGUCUAAUGAGAAUAAGAGUUAGAAAGAAAGAUGGAGCUGAAGAUCUUUUAAAAAAGAAGAUGACAAUGGGUAUGUUUCUUGAAUUUAGAACUUGAUUUAAAACAUUUAGCUUUAGAUAAGGUGUUAACAUAAGUGUUUCACUAUUUGUAGCUAGAUUUUAUGUAUUUUGGUUCCAGCGGAAUGAAAUGGUCAAGACCGGGUUCUCCGGGUUCGAAGGAACCCGACUUUGUAGUGGGGCUACUUCAACUUAAAAGAUGAAACAAGGGUUACUAAAUAAAGUUCAAUAAGCAAUCCCAAACACCCCUCUAAAAGUAACUUAUUUAGUUAAUGCUUAAAAGUCAAAUGUGGUCAUGAUUUGUUCUUUUGAUGUUUUCUUUUCUUAUAUGCUCAGGCAUGAUUUUACUUUCAACAACUUAUAUCAUGAGUUAGUUACUGUCAUUCAAUGUUAUACAAUCUUUUUGUUCAGUUUACCAUUCUACUAUUUCUUUGUUCAUAACAGUAUCGCCUCUAGCUCUAUUCUGCACCGAUUAUUGUGUUGCAGGAAAUUUGUCACGGAUAUCUUAAGCUUGAAAAUACACUGUUGGAAGUGCAGCUCCUAGUGUUAAAAAUACUUAAAAUAUGUGAUUUUGGGUAUUCAAAGUAAUCAGUUAGGCGUUCCCAAUCAAAGUCAGCUGCAACUUACAUUGCACUUGAAGUUCUUUCAAGAAAAGAAUAUGAUGGAAAUGUGGCUCCUUUGAGCUUUUAGUUAUUUACUAGACAUGCAAUUUAAUGUUAUUUCUUAUUUGAAUUACCAUACUUGACUCAUCCUAACACACACCAUUGUUCUUGUGGAAAAACAAUAAAUUAAAUGGUUAAAAAAUUAAAAGUUAAGUUUUCGACAUA
Helianthus annuus (common sunflower) is the source of this 1654-nucleotide long non-coding RNA. RefSeq lists it as uncharacterized. The record is from RefSeq and is a predicted model, not a curated record. The transcript is spliced from 5 exons. Lineage: Eukaryota; Viridiplantae; Streptophyta; Magnoliopsida; Asterales; Asteraceae.